This 95-nucleotide ribosomal RNA is filed under the name uncultured bacterium. Its description in RNAcentral is "partial 16S ribosomal RNA". It matches the Rfam family "Bacterial small subunit ribosomal RNA", at positions 1390 to 1482 of the family's 1533-position model. The record is from RNAcentral.
CCGCCCGUCACAUCACGAAAGUGGGUUGUACUAGAAGUGCCAGCGCUAACCCGCAAGGGAGGCAUGGUAUAACGGUAUGAUCCAUGAUUGGGGUG